RNAcentral lists this long non-coding RNA (557 nucleotides) under Salvia miltiorrhiza (redroot sage). RNAcentral's name for it is "long non-coding RNA (SMIL_LNC010029)". The record is from RNAcentral. Lineage: Eukaryota; Viridiplantae; Streptophyta; Magnoliopsida; Lamiales; Lamiaceae.
UUUGUUUCAGUUUUUUGUUUUGUUUUGUUUUUUUUUGUUUUUUUUUUUUGUUUUGCUUGUUUUAAACUUUCGAUUUAUUUAAUAUGAAAUUGUUGGCAAAUUUGUGCUCCAAUUGCAUUUAAUUUCUUCUUUUUUUUUGUUUCAAAGUUUUCAUUUCAUUUAAUUUUUUUUAAUGAGCAUGCAUUUCUAUUUUUGUCUUUAUAAUGAUAUAAUUUUUUAUUUUAUUUUAUUUUAAUGUGUAAUUCUUUUAUUUAUUAUGUGUAAUUUUUUUGCAAGCAACCGACACAAGCUUGUUUGCUAAAUUAUUUGUAGUUUUAUUAAUUAUUUUAUUUUAGUUUUCUUAUCUAUAUAUACUUCAAGUUCUCAGUAUUGCAUACCAUAACUUAUCUUCUCUUCUUUGUGUUUAUUUCUUGAUUCUAUUUUUCUUUCAAAAUGUCGAACUCACCAAAUCAAGAUCAAAUAAAAGAAAUGCUUAAGAAUUGGAUUCGUGAAACAACGAAAUAUGAUAUAGAACGAGAGAUGAUUGCUAUUGCUGAUGAAGAAGAUGCAGAAACAAC